RNAcentral lists this transfer RNA (82 nucleotides) under Patescibacteria group bacterium. RNAcentral describes it as "tRNA-Leu". It matches the Rfam family "tRNA". Rfam says of the family: Transfer RNA (tRNA) molecules are approximately 80 nucleotides in length. Their secondary structure includes four short double-helical elements and three loops (D, anti-codon, and T loops). The record is from RNAcentral.
GCUCCCGUGGCGGAAAUGGCAUACGCGCAUGGCUUAGGACCAUGUCCCGCAAGGGUUGGAGGUUCGACUCCUCUCGGGAGCA